This 182-nucleotide ribosomal RNA is filed under the name uncultured bacterium. RNAcentral describes it as "partial 16S ribosomal RNA". It matches the Rfam family "Bacterial small subunit ribosomal RNA", at positions 1317 to 1500 of the family's 1533-position model. The record is from RNAcentral.
UGCAUGAAGUCGGAAUUGCUAGUAAUCGCGGAUCAGCAUGCCGCGGUGAAUACGUUCUCGGGCCUUGUACACACCGCCCGUCACACCAUGGGAGUCGGUAACACCCGAAGUCUGUAGCCUGACGCAAGAGGGCGCAGCCGAAGGUGGGAUUGAUGACUGGGGUGAAGUCGUAACAAGGUAUC